Molecule: ribosomal RNA, 492 nt
Filed under: uncultured bacterium
Lineage: Bacteria
Description: partial 16S ribosomal RNA
Rfam family: Bacterial small subunit ribosomal RNA
Source: RNAcentral
AGUGAACGCUGGCGGUAGGCCUAACACAUGCCAGUCGAACGGCAGCACAGUAAGAGCUUGCUCUUACGGGUGGCGAGUGGCGGACGGGUGAGGAAUACAUCGGAAUCUACUUUUUCGUGGGGGAUAACGGAGGGAAACUGACGCUAAUACCGCAUACGACCUACGGGUGAAAGCAGGGGAUCUUCGGACCUUGCGCGAUUGAAUGAGCCGAUGUCGGAUUAGCUAGUUGGCGGGGUAAAGGCCCACCAAGGCGACGAUGCGUAGCUGGUCUGAGAGGAUGAUCAGCCACACUGGAACUGAGACACGGUCCAGACUCCUACGGGAGGCAGCAGUGGGGAAUAUUGGACAAUGGGCGCAAGCCUGACCCAGCCAUACCGCGUGGGUGAAGAAGGCCUUCGGGUUGUAAAGCCCUUUUGUUGGGAAAGAAAAGCAGCAGGUUAAUCCCCCGCUGUUCUGACGGUACCCAAAGAAUAAGCACCGGCUAACUUCGUG